AAAUUGAAGAGUUUGAUCAUGGCUCAGAUUGAACGCUGGCGGCAGGCCUAACACAUGCAAGUCGAACGGUAACAGGAAGCAGCUUGCUGUUU
Molecule: ribosomal RNA, 92 nt
Filed under: Escherichia coli
Lineage: Bacteria; Pseudomonadati; Pseudomonadota; Gammaproteobacteria; Enterobacterales; Enterobacteriaceae
Also listed under: 21 other names
Description: partial 16S ribosomal RNA
Rfam family: Bacterial small subunit ribosomal RNA
Source: RNAcentral